GAUGAACGCUAGCGGCAGGCUUAACACAUGCAAGUCGAGGGGCAGCAUAAAUAGUAGCAAUACUAUUGGUGGCGACCGGCGGACGGGUGCGUAACGCGUAUACAACCUUCCCUAAACAGGGGGAUAAUCUGGAGAAAUUCGGUCUAAUACCCCAUAACAUCAGAGCAGGCAUCUGUUUUGGUUAAAAUUUCCGGAGGUUUAGGAUGGGUAUGCGUAGCAUUAGCUAGUUGGUGAGGUAACGGCUCACCAAGGCGACGAUGCUUAGGGGGACUGAGUGGUUACACCCCCACACUGUUACUGAGACACGCACCAGACUCCUACGGGAGGCAGCAGUGGGGAAUAUUGGUCAAUGGGCGGAAGCCUGAACCAGCCAUGCCGCGUGCAGGAUGACGGCUCUAUGAGUUGUAAACUGCUUUUGUACGAGGGUAAAGUGGGCUACGUGUAGCCUUUUGAAAGUAUCGUACGAAUAAGGAUCGGCUAACUCCGUGCCAGCCGCCGCCGUAA
Molecule: ribosomal RNA, 504 nt
Filed under: uncultured bacterium
Lineage: Bacteria
Description: partial 16S ribosomal RNA
Rfam family: Bacterial small subunit ribosomal RNA
Source: RNAcentral